RNAcentral lists this ribosomal RNA (305 nucleotides) under uncultured bacterium. RNAcentral describes it as "partial 16S ribosomal RNA". It matches the Rfam family "Bacterial small subunit ribosomal RNA", at positions 505 to 807 of the family's 1533-position model. The record is from RNAcentral.
ACAGCAGUCGCCACGGUAAAACGGAGGGUGCAAGCGUUAAUCGGAAUUACUGGGCGUAAAGCGCACGCAGGCGGUCUGACAAGUCAGAUGUGAAAUCCCCGGGCUUAACCUGGGAACUGCAUUUGAAACUGUCAGGCUGUAGUCUUGUAGAGGGGGGUGGAAUUCCAGGUGUAGCGGUGAAAUGCGUAGAGAUCUGGAGGAAUACCGGUGGCGAAGGCGGCCCCCUGGACAAAGACUGACGCUCAGGUGCGAAAGCGUGGGGAGCAAACAGGAUUAGAUACCCCUGUAGUCCCUGUCUCUUAUAC